GCGGGUGUAGCUCAAUGGUAGAGCCCCAGCCUUCCAAGCUGGUCACGAGGGUUCGAUUCCCUUCACCCGCUCCA
Molecule: transfer RNA, 74 nt
Filed under: Veillonella magna
Lineage: Bacteria; Bacillati; Bacillota; Negativicutes; Veillonellales; Veillonellaceae
Also listed under: 6 other names
Description: tRNA-Gly
Rfam family: tRNA
About the family: Transfer RNA (tRNA) molecules are approximately 80 nucleotides in length. Their secondary structure includes four short double-helical elements and three loops (D, anti-codon, and T loops). Further hydrogen bonds mediate the characteristic L-shaped molecular structure. tRNAs have two regions of fundamental functional importance: the anti-codon, which is responsible for specific mRNA codon recognition, and the 3' end, to which the tRNAs corresponding amino acid is attached (by aminoacyl-tRNA synthetases). tRNAs cope with the degeneracy of the genetic code in two manners: having more than one tRNA (with a specific anti-codon) for a particular amino acid; and 'wobble' base-pairing, i.e. permitting non-standard base-pairing at the 3rd anti-codon position.
Source: RNAcentral